GGAUUGAACUGGCAACCUUGGUGUUAUGAGCACUGCGCUCUAACCAGCCACCCCCAACACAGGGUCUUCUGAUGUUCUCUACCUUAUUUCAGUGUCUCUGAGAGAUAAGCACAGGGGAAUUUAUGAUUCCUAUUUUACUGACAGGGAAAACCGAGGCCUAGAGAGGUAAAGUGACACUGUUAGUCAGUCUAACUGGAAUUUGCUCUCGGACCUCUGACUCCAAGGGCUAACUUUGUACCUAGAUGGAAUACGGGAGUACAGUUUAAGGGGUCCUGGCAAGCUCUCUCUAAAAUCUCUCUCUGUUGCUGUAAAUCCUGCCAUUGAUGCAUGAUUAUUUUAAGCUGUUACUAUCUUAAGGGUUCACUGUGAUUUAGCUCAAGACCCUUUCCCCUGGCAAUCCCGGGAUGGCCUAGGGGCAUGAGAUGUUUAGGGUUAGGGUUUGGAAAGUAUGCUCUGAAAGAGCAUGCAAAAAGAAUUGCCAGGUCCAAGUACAAAGUCCACCAGCAUCCCAGUUUCUCUAUGUGGGGUUACAGGGUGGGAGGACAAGUGUGACACCUCCAAAUCCUUGCUGCCCUGGAGUCCAGUCAUCACUCAUCCCCCAGGUUACACUGACAGAAAAACUGCAAAUGGCGAGCCAAGAAGGGCCAUAUUUACGUCCUAGCAAUGAGCCUCAGUUUCCUCAUGUCUAAAAUAGAAAUAAGGCUUUCCCUACUUUCUUUCUAGGGUCAUGAGGCCCAGUGAGAAAUCCCACUGUAAAGUGCUGUAUAGCAGAAGGCCACUUGAACACAUUUGUAAAAAUUCCUGUUAACGAUAAAGAGAAAAUCAAAGAUGUCUCCAUGGCAAGAACAUAGUUAAGAGGCACAAAAUGCCAAUAAGAACUGUUCCAUCUAUCAACAAGAGAAGCAGAGACUGCAGAUGGUUACAGGGAAGAUUCCCCGGGGAGAAGGCCCUGAACAUAGCUGGCAAGUGAGACUGAUGCUGGUCGCACUGGGAGGCUACAGGCAGGUCCUGACAAGAACAAAACACUGACUCUGGACUGGGCUUUGGAUACCCGGUGGUACCUGCAAAUGCUCAAUGUGCUGUAAAAGAACUAGAACUGAAGAUGGCACACCAAUUUGGACUCUGAGUCCAUUUUUUCAGACCAAGGAACCCACUUUAUUGCCCAUAAUGUCCAACAAUGGGCAGAGAGCUAUCCUCCUCAGUGUAAUAUAGUUUGAUAGAGAAUUGAAAUGGUCAAUUAAAACAUUGGUUGUCUCAAAGGGGAGGAGAUGCAGGUAUGAAGUACUGGAUUACCUGCCUUCAUGAGUGUGUGCUCACACUCAACAUAAGGGGUGUCAAGGCAGUGUCCCCACUACAUAGAUUCCUCUGCUUUUUUGGUGGAUUUGGGGAAUGGGGUGGGCUGGGGGAGGAUGCUGGUAUGACUGUGUCAUUCUUCCUAUGUGAGGUAAGAUGGUGAUAUGGCUACACUUUUUUUUUCUUUCCCAUAUCACCUCAACUUCUUUUUCCUACCUGAUAUGGUGGUCCCAGGAACAGGGCUACAUCUAUAAGUGUCAAAAGGAUGGAUGAUUUCUAAUGAUGAAACAUGAAAAUUUAAAAUAUACUCAGAAUUCCUAAGGGGCUGAGGAAUAGAGUGAAGAAAUAAAAUGGAGUCAGUAUAGUCAAGCUGCUAAAUUACUAAAAUCAAGUAGGCUGAGGCAUGAGGAAAUGAGCCUAUUGUUGCUUUAACGACCUGGAACUUAAACUUUGGAACUUUCCAGUGUUGCAUCAAUGCCUGGAUAUACAUAAGACCACCAGAUAAUCCUCUGAUUACUCUGUGAAGGACUCACGUUAUCCAGAUCACCUGACGUCAGUUAUCCAGACCAUUGGACAUGACUAGUCCUCCUGGCUCCCAUCGUCCAGACCACCUGACACCUUACUGAUAACCAUCCUGGACCAAUCCUAGGGCUAAGAAUGCAGGAAUGAUUAUUCUCAAGAAUGUACUUUUUAUUAUCAGAACUCUUAACUUUUCUUUCUUCUUCAGGACACUUUUGGGGUUUUGCCUAGCUGUGUUUCUGGUUUGCAACUCCUAAGACCCUUGAAUAAAUCUUUCUCAUUUAUUUCUAGCCAAGGCCUCCAGGCUUUUUGAGUUCAUUGGACAGGCUGGAUGGAACAGGCUGUUCCUUCAUCUGAUCUGGCAAAACUGAGGCUAACAGUGAAUGCAGCUACACUACUUGCCUAGUGGUAGAAAUAGCCACUAGCUCUGUACCCAUGUAACCCUGUCCUAGAUGAAUGAGAGUGAACGGAAAAGAAGGCACUUGCUAGACUAGUAUUGUUGCCUAUGAUCUAGACCAGUACAGUGACCCAACCUAACAUCCCUUCCAAGGGUGGAAAGUUUGGGGUAUAAAUGCAGAGAAAGAGGAAUAGUAGCUGAGGGUAAAGGAAUGAAUGAAUGAGUUCAAUGAGGUAAAUCCAGUAUUACAUUACCACCUCAAAAGAGGCUCAGAGCAAGAGAUGAUAUUGCCUCUUAGCUCAAUUAUACCAGAUACCUGAAAGGGAGAAGCCAUAUACUUCUGAGACCACUGCUGCUUUUGGAUCCUGACAAGAUGGAAUGGAAACCUGCAAAGCUGAUUGACCUUGUCCUGUGACACAUUUUGGUCAUAUGAUAUGAUAAUGGACUAGAAAAUGAUCAGUAACUGAACGGGACUCUGGUAAUGUGCCAAUAUCUUUUUACUCUUAUUUUUCAGGCUACGUCUACCAUAGUGUGAAGAUGAUACAACAUUAGCAUGUUUGACAAAGUAAUAAUACUGAUAGUGAUGGUCAAAUGUGAUGAGGCAGAAAAAUAGUUAACAAAAAGUGAGCCCGAAGGGGAUUAGCAGAAGGUGAUUUGAUCAGUACUUUGCACUGCCUGUCCAGUCCUGGGAACCACCCAGACCUGCAUCCAAUCUCCAGACCACCCAGGCUUAGCCACUAGAGAUAAAUUUUUCUGUCGAAAUACCCCUAGAAAAAGGAGAUAAGAUCCCGACCAGAAUUGUCUGUUUUUUGGCGCCUGUGCAGACUGCUGGAGCCUACCCUUAGCCUGAACUCUGGCCUCAUCAUAAUUAGAAUAAAAUGAACAUUAUGGCUUACCUUUCCCUCCCAUGGGUUUUUCUGUACGCAUUGUGGGUAAGAGCAUGCGCAGAAAGAAACCAGUUAUAUAACCUGCAUCUCUCAAUCAAAUGACCUCAGUCUAUAUGUCAAAUGUUCUAAGUUUGUACAUCACAUCUCUUGCUGUAAGAAAAUUGCCUACACUUUCCUAGAUAAGAAAAGCUAACCUGAAGUGCGGGGCAGCCGUCUUCUAUAGACACUUCCGUGGGCA
This is a long non-coding RNA of Hipposideros armiger (great roundleaf bat), 3334 nucleotides long. RefSeq lists it as uncharacterized. The record is from RefSeq and is a predicted model, not a curated record. NCBI's taxonomy places the organism in Eukaryota, Metazoa, Chordata, Mammalia, Chiroptera, Hipposideridae. The transcript is spliced from 3 exons.